Molecule: ribosomal RNA, 782 nt
Filed under: uncultured eukaryote
Lineage: Eukaryota
Description: bacterial SSU rRNA
Rfam family: Eukaryotic small subunit ribosomal RNA
Source: RNAcentral
GUACGUUGACCGUAACGAUACCAACUAGCGUUCCGCCGCUGGCAAACACGCCUUGGCGGGCAGCUUCCCGGAAACGAAAGUUUUUCGGUUCCGGGGGAAGUAUGGUUGCAAAGCUGAAACUUAAAGGAAUUGACGGAAGGGCACCACCAGGAGUGGAGCCUGCGGCUUAAUUUGACUCAACACGGGAAAACUCACCCGGCCCGGACACUGUAAGGAUUGACAGACUGAGAGCUCUUUCUUAAUUCAGUGGGUGGUGGUGCAUGGCCGUUCUUAGUUGGUGGAGCGAUUUGUCUGGUUAAUUCCGAUAACGAACGAGACUCUGGCCUAUUAAAUAGACGAGAUAUUCUAAAGUAUCUCGCGCUUCUUAGAGGGACAAGCGGCGUCUAGUCGCAUGAAAAAGAGCAAUAACAGGUCUGUGAUGCCCUUAGAUGUCCGGGGCUGCACGCGCGCUACACUGAAAGAAUCAGUGGGCGUUAUACCUAGUUCGGAAGAACCGGGUAACCCAAGUAAUUUCUUUCGUGCUUGGGAUAGGGAAUUGCAAUUAUUUCCCUUAAACGAGGAAUUCCCAGUAAACGCGGGUCAUAAGCUCGUGUUGAUUACGUCCCUGCCCUUUGUACACACCGCCCGUCGCUACUACCGAUUGGAUGACUUAGUGAGGUCUUAGGACCGAGGUAGAGGUGCUUUUACGAGUGCUUUUGCUUUGGAAAUUUGAUCGAACUACGUUAUCUAGAGGAAGUAAAAGUCGUAACAAAGGUUUCCGUAGGUGAACCUGCGGAAGGAUC